GAAAGAAGAGCAUCCCCUCAAUCAAGCAAGCAGGCAAGCAAGCAAGACAUCAUGCCAGAAGAAGACGAUCGAUCUAGGGUUUGGAUACCAAUUGAAGGCUGCAACCGAUUCAUCUCAUCAUACGAAACAAAGCUUACUUGAUCUUAUAGGGAGAAGAAACAACCGAGAGGAGGGAUAGGGCUUUUGCCUCAAGAGUGUAAGCACAAAUGGUUUGUGGCAUAGUAGUUUGUUUAUAACCACUACAAAGAGGAAGAAGCUGCAUUGAGGGCUCAUCACGGUUUCAGUUUGGUUGGUGAGUGAGCGGAAUCUGUUCAGGAGGAGGGCGGAAGCCAAACGGGCUGAAUGAUAUAUACUGGGUUGAAACAUUUAACUAUGCGGACAAAGGGCUGACAAAAGCUUAUAGAACUACUGCCGUGGGCAAAAUCUCAAGUUACAUGUGGUGCUGUUGAUAAUUGUGUAUCGGCCCUCAUACCGUUCAUAUUUCAUAUAUCAGGAGGAUUUUAGAAUGAGAAAUCAAAAUCUAUAUAUAUUCUA
Molecule: long non-coding RNA, 534 nt
Filed under: Helianthus annuus (common sunflower)
Lineage: Eukaryota; Viridiplantae; Streptophyta; Magnoliopsida; Asterales; Asteraceae
Description: sRNA HanXRQr2_Chr09g0405551
Source: RNAcentral